CAGUAGCCGCGGUAAUACGUAGGGUGCGAGCGUUAAUCGGAAUUACUGGGCGUAAAGCGGGCGCAGACGGUUACUUAAGCAGGAUGUGAAAUCCCCGGGCUCAACCUGGGAAUUGCGUUCUGAACUGGGUGGCUAGAGUGUGUCAGAGGGGGGUAGAAUUCCACGUGUAGCAGUGAAAUGCGUGGAGAUGUGGAGGAAUACCGAUGGCGAAGGCAGCCUCCUGGGAUAACACUGACGUUCAUGCUCGAAAGCGUGGGUAGCAAACAGGAUUAGAGACCCCAGUAGUCCCUGUCUCUUAUAC
Molecule: ribosomal RNA, 301 nt
Filed under: uncultured bacterium
Lineage: Bacteria
Description: partial 16S ribosomal RNA
Rfam family: Bacterial small subunit ribosomal RNA
Source: RNAcentral